UAAAUGGAGAGUUUGAUCCUGGCUCAGGACGAACGCUGGCGGCGUGCUUAACACAUGCAAGUCGAACGAUUUGGUGGUGGGUCGUUAGUGGUUAGUGGUUGGGAUAGAAGGAAUUCGCCAAAGGCGAAUUCCAACAAGCAAUCCAACGACCAAUCACCAACGACUUACUACCAAAUAGUGGCGGACGGGUGAGUAACGCGUGGAUAACCUGCCUGACAGACCGGGACAACACCGGGAAACUGGUGCUAAUACCGGAUACGCUCAUAUAGACACAUGUAGAUAUGAGGAAAGGGGAAACCCGCUGACAGAUGGGUCCGCGUCCCAUUAGCUAGUUGGCGGUGUAAUAGACCACCAAGGCGACGAUGGGUAGCCGGCCUGAGAGGGUGGACGGCCACACUGGAACUGAGACACGGUCCA
Molecule: ribosomal RNA, 417 nt
Filed under: Peptococcaceae bacterium
Lineage: Bacteria; Bacillati; Bacillota; Clostridia; Eubacteriales; Peptococcaceae
Description: bacterial SSU rRNA
Rfam family: Bacterial small subunit ribosomal RNA
Source: RNAcentral